GACGAACGCUGGCGGCGUGCUUAACACAUGCAAGUCGAACGGUAAGGCCCUUCGGGGUACACGAGUGGCGAACGGGUGAGUAACACGUGGGUGAUCUGCCCUGCACUUCGGGAUAAGCCUGGGAAACUGGGUCUAAUACCGGAUAGGACCACUGCCUGCAUGGGGGGUGGUGGAAAGCUUUUGUGGUGUGGGAUGGGCCCGCGGCCUAUCAGCUUGUUGGUGGGGUGAUGGCCUACCAAGGCGACGACGGGUAGCCGGCCUGAGAGGGUGACCGGCCACACUGGGACUGAGAUACGGCCCAGACUCCUACGGGAGGCAGCAGUGGGGAAUAUUGCACAAUGGGCGCAAGCCUGAUGCAGCGACGCCGCGUGAGGGAUGACGGCCUUCGGGUUGUAAACCUCUUUCAGCACCGACGAAGCGCAAGUGACGGUAGGUGCAGAAGAAGGACCGGCCAACUACGUGCCAGCAGCCGCAGUAA
This 478-nucleotide ribosomal RNA is filed under the name uncultured bacterium. RNAcentral describes it as "partial 16S ribosomal RNA". It matches the Rfam family "Bacterial small subunit ribosomal RNA", at positions 28 to 523 of the family's 1533-position model. The record is from RNAcentral.